Molecule: ribosomal RNA, 2904 nt
Filed under: Escherichia coli EPEC C342-62
Lineage: Bacteria; Pseudomonadati; Pseudomonadota; Gammaproteobacteria; Enterobacterales; Enterobacteriaceae
Description: bacterial LSU rRNA
Rfam family: Bacterial large subunit ribosomal RNA
Source: RNAcentral
UUAAGCGACUAAGCGUACACGGUGGAUGCCCUGGCAGUCAGAGGCGAUGAAGGACGUGCUAAUCUGCGAUAAGCGUCGGUAAGGUGAUAUGAACCGUUAUAACCGGCGAUUUCCGAAUGGGGAAACCCAGUGUGAUUCGUCACACUAUCAUUAACUGAAUCCAUAGGUUAAUGAGGCGAACCGGGGGAACUGAAACAUCUAAGUACCCCGAGGAAAAGAAAUCAACCGAGAUUCCCCCAGUAGCGGCGAGCGAGCGGGGAGCAGCCCAGAGCCUGAAUCAGUGUGUGUGUUAGUGGAAGCGUCUGGAAAGGCGCGCGAUACAGGGUGACAGCCCCGUACACAAAAAUGCACAUGCUGUGAGCUCGAUGAGUAGGGCGGGACACGUGGUAUCCUGUCUGAAUAUGGGGGGACCAUCCUCCAAGGCUAAAUACUCCUGACUGACCGAUAGUGAACCAGUACCGUGAGGGAAAGGCGAAAAGAACCCCGGCGAGGGGAGUGAAAAAGAACCUGAAACCGUGUACGUACAAGCAGUGGGAGCACAGAGCAAUCUGUGUGACUGCGUACCUUUUGUAUAAUGGGUCAGCGACUUAUAUUCUGUAGCAAGGUUAACCGAAUAGGGGAGCCGAAGGGAAACCGAGUCUUAACUGGGCGUUAAGUUGCAGGGUAUAGACCCGAAACCCGGUGAUCUAGCCAUGGGCAGGUUGAAGGUUGGGUAACACUAACUGGAGGACCGAACCGACUAAUGUUGAAAAAUUAGCGGAUGACUUGUGGCUGGGGGUGAAAGGCCAAUCAAACCGGGAGAUAGCUGGUUCUCCCCGAAAGCUAUUUAGGUAGCGCCUCGUGAAUUCAUCUCCGGGGGUAGAGCACUGUUUCGGCAAGGGGGUCAUCCCGACUUACCAACCCGAUGCAAACUGCGAAUACCGGAGAAUGUUAUCACGGGAGACACACGGCGGGUGCUAACGUCCGUCGUGAAGAGGGAAACAACCCAGACCGCCAGCUAAGGUCCCAAAGUCAUGGUUAAGUGGGAAACGAUGUGGGAAGGCCCAGACAGCCAGGAUGUUGGCUUAGAAGCAGCCAUCAUUUAAAGAAAGCGUAAUAGCUCACUGGUCGAGUCGGCCUGCGCGGAAGAUGUAACGGGGCUAAACCAUGCACCGAAGCUGCGGCAGCGACGCUGAUGCGUUGUUGGGUAGGGGAGCGUUCUGUAAGCCUGCGAAGGUGUGCUGUGAGGCAUGCUGGAGGUAUCAGAAGUGCGAAUGCUGACAUAAGUAACGAUAAAGCGGGUGAAAAGCCCGCUCGCCGGAAGACCAAGGGUUCCUGUCCAACGUUAAUCGGGGCAGGGUGAGUCGACCCCUAAGGCGAGGCCGAAAGGCGUAGUCGAUGGGAAACAGGUUAAUAUUCCUGUACUUGGUGUUACUGCGAAGGGGGGACGGAGAAGGCUAUGUUGGCCGGGCGACGGUUGUCCCGGUUUAAGCGUGUAGGCUGGUUUUCCAGGCAAAUCCGGAAAAUCAAGGCUGAGGCGUGAUGACGAGGCACUACGGUGCUGAAGCAACAAAUGCCCUGCUUCCAGGAAAAGCCUCUAAGCAUCAGGUAACAUCAAAUCGUACCCCAAACCGACACAGGUGGUCAGGUAGAGAAUACCAAGGCGCUUGAGAGAACUCGGGUGAAGGAACUAGGCAAAAUGGUGCCGUAACUUCGGGAGAAGGCACGCUGAUAUGUAGGUGAAGUCCCUCGCGGAUGGAGCUGAAAUCAGUCGAAGAUACCAGCUGGCUGCAACUGUUUAUUAAAAACACAGCACUGUGCAAACACGAAAGUGGACGUAUACGGUGUGACGCCUGCCCGGUGCCGGAAGGUUAAUUGAUGGGGUCAGCGCAAGCGAAGCUCUUGAUCGAAGCCCCGGUAAACGGCGGCCGUAACUAUAACGGUCCUAAGGUAGCGAAAUUCCUUGUCGGGUAAGUUCCGACCUGCACGAAUGGCGUAAUGAUGGCCAGGCUGUCUCCACCCGAGACUCAGUGAAAUUGAACUCGCUGUGAAGAUGCAGUGUACCCGCGGCAAGACGGAAAGACCCCGUGAACCUUUACUAUAGCUUGACACUGAACAUUGAGCCUUGAUGUGUAGGAUAGGUGGGAGGCUUUGAAGUGUGGACGCCAGUCUGCAUGGAGCCGGCCUUGAAAUACCACCCUUUAAUGUUUGAUGUUCUAACGUUGACCCGUGAUCCGGGUUGCGGACAGUGUCUGGUGGGUAGUUUGACUGGGGCGGUCUCCUCCUAAAGAGUAACGGAGGAGCACGAAGGUUGGCUAAUCCUGGUCGGACAUCAGGAGGUUAGUGCAAUGGCAUAAGCCAGCUUGACUGCGAGCGUGACGGCGCGAGCAGGUGCGAAAGCAGGUCAUAGUGAUCCGGUGGUUCUGAAUGGAAGGGCCAUCGCUCAACGGAUAAAAGGUACUCCGGGGAUAACAGGCUGAUACCGCCCAAGAGUUCAUAUCGACGGCGGUGUUUGGCACCUCGAUGUCGGCUCAUCACAUCCUGGGGCUGAAGUAGGUCCCAAGGGUAUGGCUGUUCGCCAUUUAAAGUGGUACGCGAGCUGGGUUUAGAACGUCGUGAGACAGUUCGGUCCCUAUCUGCCGUGGGCGCUGGAGAACUGAGGGGGGCUGCUCCUAGUACGAGAGGACCGGAGUGGACGCAUCACUGGUGUUCGGGUUGUCAUGCCAAUGGCACUGCCCGGUAGCUAAAUGCGGAAGAGAUAAGUGCUGAAAGCAUCUAAGCACGAAACUUGCCCCGAGAUGAGUUCUCCCUGACUCCUUGAGAGUCCUGAAGGAACGUUGAAGACGACGACGUUGAUAGGCCGGGUGUGUAAGCGCAGCGAUGCGUUGAGCUAACCGGUACUAAUGAACCGUGAGGCUUAACCUU